AUAACAUCCGGAAACGGGUGCUAAUACCGCAUAGUUUCUUGAUCGCAUGAUCGGGAAAGGAAAGACGGCCUUUGUGCUGUCGCUUAUGGAUGGACCCGCGGCGUAUUAGUUAGUUGGUGAGGUAACGGCUCACCAAGACGAUGAUACGUAGCCGACCUGAGAGGGUGAUCGGCCACAUUGGGACUGAGACACGGCCCAAACUCCUACGGGAGGCAGCAGUAGGGAAUCUUCCGCAAUGGACGAAAGUCUGACGGAGCAACGCCGCGUGAGUGAAGAAAGGGUUUUCGGAUCGUAAAACUCUGUUGUCAGAGAAGAACAAGUUGGAGAGUAACUGCUCCAGCCUUGACGGUAUCUGACCAGAAAGCCACGGCUAACUACGUGCCAGCCGCUGC
This 392-nucleotide ribosomal RNA is filed under the name uncultured bacterium. Its description in RNAcentral is "bacterial SSU rRNA". It matches the Rfam family "Bacterial small subunit ribosomal RNA", at positions 143 to 518 of the family's 1533-position model. The record is from RNAcentral.